GAUGAACGCUGGCGGCGUGCUUAACACAUGCAAGUCGAACGGGAAACUUUUCAUUGCAGCUUCGGCAGAUUUGGUCUGUUUCUAGUGGCGGACGGGUGAGUAACGCGUGGGUAACCUGCCUUAUACAGGGGGAUAACAACCAGAAAUGGUUGCUAAUACCGCAUAAGCGCACAGGACCGCAUGGUCCGGUGUGAAAAACUCCGGUGGUAUAAGAUGGACCCGCGUUGGAUUAGCUAGUUGGCAGGGUAACGGCCUACCAAGGCGACGAUCCAUAGCCGGCCUGAGAGGGUGAACGGCCACAUUGGGACUGAGACACGGCCCAGACUCCUACGGGAGGCAGCAGUGGGGAAUAUUGCACAAUGGGGGAAACCCUGAUGCAGCGACGCCGCGUGAAGGAAGAAGUAUCUCGGUAUGUAAACUUCUAUCAGCAGGGAAGAUAGUGACGGUACCUGACUAAGAAGCCCCGGCUAACUACGUG
This 478-nucleotide ribosomal RNA is filed under the name uncultured bacterium. Its description in RNAcentral is "partial 16S ribosomal RNA". It matches the Rfam family "Bacterial small subunit ribosomal RNA", at positions 28 to 507 of the family's 1533-position model. The record is from RNAcentral.